UACGUAGGGUGCGAGCGUUGUCCGGAAUUAUUGGGCGUAAAGAGCUUGUAGGCGGUUUGUCGCGUCUGCCGUGAAAAUUCGAGGCUCAACCUCGAACUUGCGGUGGGUACGGGCAGACUAGAGUGUGGUAGGGGAGACUGGAAUUCCUGGUGUAGCGGUGAAAUGCGCAGAUAUCAGGAGGAACACCGGUGGCGAAGGCGGGUCUCUGGGCCGAUACUGACGCUGAGGAGCGAAAGCUAGGGGAGCGAACAGG
Molecule: ribosomal RNA, 253 nt
Filed under: uncultured bacterium
Lineage: Bacteria
Description: partial 16S ribosomal RNA
Rfam family: Bacterial small subunit ribosomal RNA
Source: RNAcentral